RNAcentral lists this ribosomal RNA (253 nucleotides) under uncultured bacterium. RNAcentral describes it as "partial 16S ribosomal RNA". It matches the Rfam family "Bacterial small subunit ribosomal RNA", at positions 524 to 776 of the family's 1533-position model. The record is from RNAcentral.
UACAGAGGGUGCAAGCGUUAAUCGGAAUUACUGGGCGUAAAGCGCACGCAGGCGGUUUUUUAAGUCAGAUGUGAAAGCCCCGGGCUCAACCUGGGAAUUGCAUUUGAAACUGGAAAACUAGAGUGUGUGAGAGGGGGGUAGAAUUCCAAGUGUAGCGGUGAAAUGCGUAGAGAUUUGGAGGAAUACCAGUGGCGAAGGCGGCCCCCUGGCACAACACUGACGCUCAGGUGCGAAAGCGUGGGGAGCAAACAGG